This 521-nucleotide ribosomal RNA is filed under the name Gliocephalis hyalina. RNAcentral describes it as "SSU rRNA". It matches the Rfam family "Eukaryotic small subunit ribosomal RNA", at positions 588 to 1115 of the family's 1831-position model. Lineage: Eukaryota; Fungi; Ascomycota. The record is from RNAcentral.
GCUCCAAAGCGUAUAUUAAAGUUGUUGCAGUUAAAAAGCUCGUAGUUGAACUUUGGUCUCGGCUGGCCGGUCCGCCUCACCGCGUGUACUGGUCUGGCUGGGACUUUCCUCUUGGGGAACCGCAUGCCCUUUACUGGGUGUGUUGGGAAACCAGGACUUUUACUUUGAAAAAAUUAGAGUGUUCAAAGCAGGCAAUUGCUCGGAUACAUUAGCAUGGAAUAAUAAAAUAGGACGUGUGGUUCUAUUUUGUUGGUUUCUAGGACCGCCGUAAUGAUUAAUAGGGAUAGUUGGGGGCAUCAGUAUUCAAUUGUCAGAGGUGAAAUUCUUGGAUUUAUUGAAGACUAACUACUGCGAAAGCAUUUGCCAAAGAUGUUUUCAUUAAUCAGGAACGAAAGUUAGGGGAUCGAAGACGAUCAGAUACCGUCGUAGUCUUAACCGUAAACUAUGCCGACUAGGGAUCGGGUGGUGUUUCUAUUAUGACUCACUCGGCACCUUACGAGAAAUCAAAGUUUUUGGGUUCU